RNAcentral lists this ribosomal RNA (440 nucleotides) under uncultured bacterium. RNAcentral's name for it is "partial 16S ribosomal RNA". It matches the Rfam family "Bacterial small subunit ribosomal RNA", at positions 355 to 788 of the family's 1533-position model. The record is from RNAcentral.
UGGGGAAUUUUGGACAAUGGGCGAAAGCCUGAUCCAGCAAUGCCGCGUGUGUGAAGAAGGCCUUCGGGUUGUAAAGCACUUUUGUCCGGAAAGAAAUCCUUGGACUCUAAUACAGUCGGGGGAUGACGGUACCGGAAGAAUAAGCACCGGCUAACUACGUGCCAGCAGCCGCGGUAAUACGUAGGGUGCAAGCGUUAAUCGGAAUUACUGGGCGUAAAGCGUGCGCAGGCGGUUUGCUAAGACCGAUGUGAAAUCCCGGGCUCAACCUGGGAACUGCAUUGGUGACUGGCAGGCUAGAGUAUGGCAGAGGGGGGUAGAAUUCCACGUGUAGCAGUGAAAUGCGUAGAGAUGUGGAGGAAUACGAUGGCGAAGGCAGCCCCCUGGGCCAAUACUGACGCUCAUGCACGAAAGCGUGGGGAGCAAACAGGAUUAGAUACCCU